This 253-nucleotide ribosomal RNA is filed under the name uncultured bacterium. RNAcentral's name for it is "partial 16S ribosomal RNA". It matches the Rfam family "Bacterial small subunit ribosomal RNA", at positions 524 to 776 of the family's 1533-position model. The record is from RNAcentral.
GACAGAGGGGGCAAGCGUUGCUCGGAAUUACUGGGCGUAAAGGGCGCGUAGGCGGGAUGGCAAGUCGGUCGUGAAAUCCCUCGGCUCAACCGAGGAACGUCGAUCGAUACUGCUGUUCUUGAGGAUUGCAGAGGAGACUGGAAUUCCCGGUGUAGCGGUGAAAUGUGUAGAGAUCGGGAGGAACACCGGUGGCGAAGGCAGCCCCCCGGGCCAAUACUGACGCUCAUGCACGAAAGCGUGGGGAGCAAACAGG